GACGAACGCUGGCGGCGCGCUUAACACAUGCAAGUCGAACGGAAAGGCCUGCUUUCCCUUGUGGAUUGCGGGUACUCGAGUGGCGAACGGGUGAGUAACACGUGAGUGAUCUGCCCCCAACUUGGGUAUAAGCCUGGGAAACUGGGUCUAAUUCCCGAUAGGACUGCAGGGUGGUGCCUGUGGUGGAAAACGAUGUUCUAGUGGUUGGGGAUGAGCUCGCGGCCUAUCAGCUUGUUGGUGGGGUAAUGGCCUACCAAGGCGGCGACGGGUAGCCUGCCUGGGAGGGCGGACGGCCACAUUGGGACUGAGACACGGCCAAGACUCCUACGGGAGGAAGCAGUGGGGAAUAGUGCACCAUGGGCGGAAGCCUGAUGCAGCGACGCCGAGUGGGGGAUGACGGCCUUCGGGUUGUAAACUCCUUUCGACCGAGAGGAAGCCACCUGGUUGGAAGGGUGGUGACGGUAGUGGUAGAAGAAGCACCGGCUAACUACGUG
RNAcentral lists this ribosomal RNA (494 nucleotides) under uncultured bacterium. RNAcentral's name for it is "partial 16S ribosomal RNA". It matches the Rfam family "Bacterial small subunit ribosomal RNA", at positions 28 to 507 of the family's 1533-position model. The record is from RNAcentral.